GAAUAUAAAACUGUGGAAGUCAAGGGCAUCAUCAGAACUCACAUCACUAGGCAAAAAUGGGAAACUGCAUUCCCACAUUGAGCUGCAAGCAUGGAAACAAAGUUAGAGAUGUCUGGUUGGAUGAGAUGGCAACAGAGAAGACCAAGGAUCAACCUCGAGAGACUGUUGGGAAGAAAACUGGGACAAGGCGGUGCAUAAAGAUCACUCUGACAAGGAAGCAGCUGGAGAUGCUGCUGAAAAAUGCAGAGGGUGUUUCCUUUAAGCUCCCAGAGACUUGCGGGAGCGGCGAGCGGAGAUGGAAGCCAUCUUUGCAGACAAUAUUAGAGGUAGAUAACUUAUGAUGCCAUAAUUUUGAAUCUUGAUCUGGAUUGAAGCUGAGUAGCAGAAGGGAGAUCAAUUUUGAUGACAACUCCGUCUAGUAGUUUUGCAUUCUCCUUAGUGAAU
RNAcentral lists this long non-coding RNA (444 nucleotides) under Brassica rapa (field mustard). RNAcentral's name for it is "long non-coding RNA (BRAP_LNC005915)". The record is from RNAcentral. Lineage: Eukaryota; Viridiplantae; Streptophyta; Magnoliopsida; Brassicales; Brassicaceae.